Molecule: non-coding RNA, 72 nt
Organism: Potamilus streckersoni
Lineage: Eukaryota; Metazoa; Mollusca; Bivalvia; Unionida; Unionidae
Source: the annotation of a GenBank genome assembly
ACUCCAGUAGCCUAGUCGUUGGAGCGUCCGCCUUGGAUGCAGGAGGUCGUAGGUUCAAACCCCGGCCGAGUG